GCGACGAUACGUAGCCGACCUGAGAGGGUGAUCGGCCACACUGGAACUGAGACACGGUCCAGACUCCUACGGGAGGCAGCAGUAGGGAAUCUUCCGCAAUGGGCGAAAGCCUGACGGAGCAACGCCGCGUGAGUGAUGAAGGUCUUCGGAUCGUAAAGCUCUGUUGUUAGGGAAGAACAAAUGUGUAAGUAACUGUGCACAUCUUGACGGUACCUAACCAGAAAGCCACGGCUAACUACGUGCCAGCAGCCGCGGUAAUACGUAGGUGGCAAGCGUUAUCCGGAAUUAUUGGGCGUAAAGCGCGCGUAGGCGGUUUUUUAAGUCUGAUGUGAAAGCCCACGGCUCAACCGUGGAGGGUCAUUGGAAACUGGAAAACUUGAGUGCAGAAGAGGAAAGUGGAAUUCCAUGUGUAGCGGUGAAAUGCGCAGAGAUAUGGAGGAACACCAGUGGCGAAGGCGGCUUUCUGGUCUGCAACUGACGCUGAUGUGCGAAAGCGUGGGGAUCAAACAGGAUUAGAUACCCUGGUAGUCCACGCCGUAAACGAUGAGUGCUAAGUGUUAGGGGGUUUCCGCCCCUUAGUGCUGCAGCUAACGCAUUAAGCACUCCGCCUGGGGAGUACGGUCGCAAGACUGAAACUCAAAGGAAUUGACGGGGACCCGCACAAGCGGUGGAGCAUGUGGUUUAAUUCGAAGCAACGCGAAGAACCUUACCAAAUCUUGACAUCCUUUGACCGCUCUAGAGAUAGAGUUUUCCUCUUCGGAGGACAAAGUGACAGGUGGUGCAUGGUUGUCGUCAGCUCGUGUCGUGAGAUGUUGGGUUAAGUCCCGCAACGAGCGCAACCCUUGAACUUAGUUGCCAUCAUUCAGUUGGGCACUCUAAGUUGACUGCCGGUGACAAACCGGAGGAAGGUGGGGAUGACGUCAAAUCAUCAUGCCCCUUAUGAUUUGGGCUACACACGUGCUACAAUGGACAAUACAAAGGGCAGCGAAACCGCGAGGUCAAGCAAAUCCCAUAAAGUUGUUCUCAGUUCGGAUUGUAGUCUGCAACUCGACUACAUGAAGCUGGAAUCGCUAGUAAUCGUAGAUCAGCAUGCUACGGUGAAUACGUUCCCGGGUCUUGUACACACCGCCCGUCACACCACGAGAGUUUGUAACACCCGAAGCCGGUGGAGUAACCAUUUUGGAGCUAGCCGUCGAAGGUGGGACAAAUGAUUGGGGUGAAGUCGUAACAAGGUAGCCGUAUCGGAAGGUGCGGCUGGAUCACCUCCUUUCUA
This 1273-nucleotide ribosomal RNA is filed under the name Staphylococcus pseudintermedius. RNAcentral describes it as "bacterial SSU rRNA". It matches the Rfam family "Bacterial small subunit ribosomal RNA", at positions 273 to 1533 of the family's 1533-position model. The record is from RNAcentral. Lineage: Bacteria; Bacillati; Bacillota; Bacilli; Caryophanales; Staphylococcaceae.